CACAGUUUAACAUGAUGGACUAUAGGACAGGACUGCUGCUGUUAACUAUCUGCUUUGCAGGUGUUUGCAGUCAGACUCUGACUGAGUCUGAACCAGUGGUAAAGCGCCCUGGAGAAUCCCACAAACUCACCUGUACGUAUGCAGGAAUAUCAGAUAGUAGCGCAGAUAUCAGCUGGAUCAGACAAGCCGAAGGAAAAGGACUGGAGUGGGUUGCCUUCAUUUCUGCUCCGAGUGGAGCAACUAAAGCUUAUUCCACAUCAGUCCAGAACCGCUUCACCAUUUCCAGAGACAACAACGUGGACCAGGUGUAUCUGCAGAUGAGCAGCCUGACAACUGAAGACGCUGCUGUUUAUUAUUGUGCCAGAGCGCCACAGUGA
Non-coding RNA from Plectropomus leopardus (leopard coralgrouper), 377 nucleotides. NCBI's taxonomy places the organism in Eukaryota, Metazoa, Chordata, Actinopteri, Perciformes, Serranidae. The record is from the annotation of a RefSeq genome assembly.